This 820-nucleotide ribosomal RNA is filed under the name Staphylococcus sp. DFR44. RNAcentral's name for it is "bacterial SSU rRNA". It matches the Rfam family "Bacterial small subunit ribosomal RNA", at positions 89 to 895 of the family's 1533-position model. Lineage: Bacteria; Bacillati; Bacillota; Bacilli; Caryophanales; Staphylococcaceae. The record is from RNAcentral.
ACGUUAGCGGCGGACGGGUGAGUAACACGUGGAUAACCUACCUAUAAGACUGGGAUAACUUCGGGAAACCGGAGCUAAUACCGGAUAAGAUUUUGAACCGCAUGGUUCAAUAGUGAAAGACGGCCUUGCUGUCACUUAUAGAUGGAUCCGCGCCGUAUUAGCUAGUUGGUAAGGUAACGGCUUACCAAGGCAACGAUACGUAGCCGACCUGAGAGGGUGAUCGGCCACACUGGAACUGAGACACGGUCCAGACUCCUACGGGAGGCAGCAGUAGGGAAUCUUCCGCAAUGGGCGAAAGCCUGACGGAGCAACGCCGCGUGAGUGAUGAAGGUCUUCGGAUCGUAAAACUCUGUUAUCAGGGAAGAACAAACGUGUAAGUAACUGUGCACGUCUUGACGGUACCUGAUCAGAAAGCCACGGCUAACUACGUGCCAGCAGCCGCGGUAAUACGUAGGUGGCAAGCGUUAUCCGGAAUUAUUGGGCGUAAAGCGCGCGUAGGCGGUUUUUUAAGUCUGAUGUGAAAGCCCACGGCUCAACCGUGGAGGGUCAUUGGAAACUGGAAAACUUGAGUGCAGAAGAGGAAAGUGGAAUUCCAUGUGUAGCGGUGAAAUGCGCAGAGAUAUGGAGGAACACCAGUGGCGAAGGCGACUUUCUGGUCUGUAACUGACGCUGAUGUGCGAAAGCGUGGGGAUCAAACAGGAUUAGAUACCCUGGUAGUCCACGCCGUAAACGAUGAGUGCUAAGUGUUAGGGGGUUUCCGCCCCUUAGUGCUGCAGCUAACGCAUUAAGCACUCCGCCUGGGGAGUACGACCGCAAGGUU